RNAcentral lists this ribosomal RNA (460 nucleotides) under uncultured bacterium. Its description in RNAcentral is "partial 16S ribosomal RNA". It matches the Rfam family "Bacterial small subunit ribosomal RNA", at positions 338 to 795 of the family's 1533-position model. The record is from RNAcentral.
CCUACGGGUGGCAGCAGUGAGGAAUAUUGGUCAAUGGACGAGAGUCUGAACCAGCCAAGUAGCGUGCAGGAUGACUGCCCUAUGGGUUGUCAACUUCUUUUAUAUGGGAGUAAAAUGUUCCACGUGUGGGAUUUUGUAUGUACCAUAUGAAUAAGGAUCGGCUAACUCCGUGCCAGCAGCCGCGGUAAUACGGAGGAUCCGAGCGUUAUCCGGAUUUAUUGGGUUUAAAGGGAGCGUAGGUGGAUUGUUAAGUCAGUUGUGAAAGUUUGCGGCUCAAACGUAAAAUUGCAGUUGAAACUCGCAGUCUGGAGUACAGUAGAGGUGGGCGGAAUGCGGGGGGUAGCGGUGAAAUGCUUAGAUAUCACGAAGAACUCCGAUUGCGAAGGCAGUUCACUGGACUGCAACUGACACUGAGGCUCGAAAGUGUGGGUAUCAAACAGGAUUAGAUACCCGGGUAGUC